AGUGAACGCUGGCGGUAGGCCUAACACAUGCAAGUCGAACGGCAGCACAGUAAGAGCUUGCUCUUACGGGUGGCGAGUGGCGGACGGGUGAGGAAUACAUCGGAAUCUACUUUUUCGUGGGGGAUAACGUAGGGAAACUUACGCUAAUACCGCAUACGACCUACGGGUGAAAGCAGGGGAUCUUCGGACCCUGCGCGAUUGAAUGAGCCGAUGUCGGAUUAGCUGGUUGGCGGGGUAAAGGCCCACCAAGGCGACGAUCCGUAGCUGGUCUGAGAGGAUGAUCAGCCACACUGGAACUGAGACACGGUCCAGACUCCUAAGGGAGGCAGCAGUGGGGAAUAUUGGACAAUGGGCGCAAGCCUGAUCCAGCCAUACCGCGUGGGUGAAGAAGGCCUUCGGGUUGUAAAGCCCUUUUGUUGGGAAAGAAAAGCAGCAGGUUAAUACCCCGCUGUUCUGACGGUACCCAAAGAAUAAGCACCGGCUAACUUCGUG
This 492-nucleotide ribosomal RNA is filed under the name uncultured bacterium. RNAcentral's name for it is "partial 16S ribosomal RNA". It matches the Rfam family "Bacterial small subunit ribosomal RNA", at positions 29 to 507 of the family's 1533-position model. The record is from RNAcentral.